This 362-nucleotide ribosomal RNA is filed under the name uncultured bacterium. Its description in RNAcentral is "partial 16S ribosomal RNA". It matches the Rfam family "Bacterial small subunit ribosomal RNA", at positions 523 to 892 of the family's 1533-position model. The record is from RNAcentral.
AUACAUAGGGGGCAAGCGUUAUCCGGAAUUAUUGGGCGUAAAGGGUGCGUAGGCGGUCUAUUAAGUCUGAGGUGUAAGUGCAGGGCUCAACCCUGUGAUGCUUUAGAAACUGGUAGACUUGAGUGAGAUAGAGGCAAGUGGAAUUCCAUGUGUAGCGGUAAAAUGCGUAAAUAUAUGGAGGAACACCAGUGGCGAAGGCGGCUUGCUGGGUCUAUACUGACGCUGAGGCACGAAAGCGUGGGGAGCAAACAGGAUUAGAUACCCUGGUAGUCCACGCCGUAAACGAUGAGUACUAAGUGUUGCGAGAACGCAGUGCUGAAGUUAACACAUUAAGUACUCCGCCUGGGAAGUACGCUCGCAAG